This 297-nucleotide unclassified non-coding RNA is filed under the name plant metagenome. RNAcentral's name for it is "partial contains 5.8S ribosomal RNA, internal transcribed spacer 2, and large subunit ribosomal RNA". The stretch from base 1 to 103 matches the Rfam family "5.8S ribosomal RNA", at positions 50 to 154 of the family's 154-position model. The record is from RNAcentral.
GAAAUGCGAUAAUUAAUGUGAAUUGCAGAAUUGUGAAUCAUCGAAUCUUUGAACGCACAUUGCGCCCUUUGGUAUUCCGGGGGGCAUGCCUGUUCGAGCGUCAUUUCACCACUCAAGCCUCGCUUGGUAUUGGGCGACGCGGUCCGCCGCGCGCCUCAAAUCGACCGGCUGGGUCUUCCGUCCCCUCAGCGUUGUGGAAACUAUUCGCUAAAGGGUGCCGCGGGAGGUCACGCCGCAAAACAACCCCAUUUCUAAGGUUGACCUCGGAUCAGGUAGGGAUACCCGCUGAACUUAAGC